GGUGCUCGAGUGGCGAACGGGUGAGUAACACGUGAGUAACCUGCCCUUGACUUUGGGAUAACUUCAGGAAACUGGGGCUAAUACCGGAUAGGAGCUCCUGCUGCAUGGUGGGGGUUGGAAAGUUUCGGCGGUUGGGGAUGGACUCGCGGCUUAUCAGCUUGUUGGUGGGGUAGUGGCUUACCAAGGCUUUGACGGGUAGCCGGCCUGAGAGGGUGACCGGCCACAUUGGGCUGAGAUACGGCCCAG
This 246-nucleotide ribosomal RNA is filed under the name uncultured Actinomycetales bacterium. RNAcentral describes it as "partial 16S ribosomal RNA". It matches the Rfam family "Bacterial small subunit ribosomal RNA", at positions 86 to 334 of the family's 1533-position model. Lineage: Bacteria; Bacillati; Actinomycetota; Actinomycetes; Actinomycetales. The record is from RNAcentral.